GACGAACGCUGGCGGCGUGCUUAACACAUGCAAGUCGAACGGAAAGGCCCUGCUUUUGUGGGGUGCUCGAGUGGCGAACGGGUGAGUAACACGUGAGUAACCUGCCCUUGACUUUGGGAUAACUUCAGGCAACUGGGUCUAAUACCGGAUAGGAGCUCCUGCUGCAUGGUGGGGGUUGGAACGUUUCGGCGGUUGGGGAUGGACUCGCGGCUUAUCAGCUUGUUGGUGGGGUAGUGGCUUACCAAGGCUUUGACGGGUAGCCGGCCUGAGAGGGUGACCGGCCACAUUGGGACUGAGAUACGGCCCAGACUCCUACGGGAGGCAGCAGUGGGGAAUAUUGCACAAUGGGCGGAAGCCUGAUGCAGCAACGCCGCGUGCGGGAUGACGGCCUUCGGGUUGUAAACCGCUUUGGCAUGUGACGAAGCGUGAGUGACGGUAAUGGGUAGAGAAGCACCGGCUAACUACGUG
Molecule: ribosomal RNA, 468 nt
Filed under: uncultured bacterium
Lineage: Bacteria
Description: partial 16S ribosomal RNA
Rfam family: Bacterial small subunit ribosomal RNA
Source: RNAcentral